Molecule: long non-coding RNA, 733 nt
Organism: Aegilops tauschii subsp. strangulata
Lineage: Eukaryota; Viridiplantae; Streptophyta; Magnoliopsida; Poales; Poaceae
Source: RefSeq, a predicted model, not a curated record
CCCAUCUCGUUCUCCCUCCCCCGCCGCCACCAUCACCUUCUUCCUUCUCCCAGAUCCACUCCUUUCCGUCCUCCGCACACCCACCGCUCCGACGGUCUCUCCUUCGUCGACCCAAUCCCCACCUCGCAAUCCUAGUGGCAACCAUCACCCCUCCACACCAUCGUGUACCUUUCCGGCUAUCCCCUCCCCCUCCGAACUAUCUUCACGACGAUGGUUGAUCCGCAGCAUGUGCAGCUGAUAUGCCGAGUUUGACGGCGGCAACAACCCGAGUGAUGAGAUCCGCGUCUUGGGCGCGCACAGAUCCAGCAAGGGCUCAACCCCUGAUGUUGGCCUUGUCGGAGCGGAGAGCGACCGUGCGGUGUCCGGUCUAGGACAAUGGUUCACGGGAGGCCGUAGUGUACCCUAGCCGCCACUAGAUUCCGGUGUGGCUCCCGCCCCGUCUGUUGGCUUCCUCGACACCAUGGCAUCAUGCUGCUGCUUCGACCACAUGUCAGGUUCAUUUGCCUAAGCUGGUAGCCAUAACAGCCGUUCGUGGGCAAGGUGCGAAGCCUAAGGCUGGGUACCCAGUAGAGACAAAAGGCACAUGUUCGUCAACCGGCUGCACUGUGCUAUGUGGGCUUCUAUCAAGAUCUAAUUUUGUUUAAUUUUCUACCAAGAUCUAGUUCAGUUUAGAUUUUUCUGUCAGUUUGAUGUAUCUUUCGCGAAGUCAAUAAAAUUAAGUGUUUAUAAUGCA